CGGACGGGUGAGUAAUGUCUGGGAAACUGCCCGAUGGAGGGGGAUAACUACUGGAAACGGUAGCUAAUACCGCAUAACGUCACAAGACCAAAGAGGGGGACCUUCGGGCCUCUUGCCAUCGGAUGUGCCCAGAUGGGAUUAGCUAGUAGGUGGGGUAACGGCUCACCUAGGCGACGAUCCCUAGCUGGUCUGAGAGGAUGAUCAGCCACACUGGGACUGAGACACGGUCCAG
RNAcentral lists this ribosomal RNA (232 nucleotides) under uncultured bacterium. RNAcentral's name for it is "partial 16S ribosomal RNA". It matches the Rfam family "Bacterial small subunit ribosomal RNA", at positions 99 to 334 of the family's 1533-position model. The record is from RNAcentral.